AAUCUCUUUAACCAGAUGAUUGACAUUUUUUUUUCUCUGUAUUUCUUCAUUCUCUUUUGUUUACUAUUUUUUCAUCAAAUUGUUCAAAUUAAAAUUGCGUGAUUCAUUCAAUAUUGUUUUUCAAGGACAAUUGUACAAAACAAUUGCUAUUCUGAACUGGAAAUCAUUGUAAUGAUGGUGAUUACUUUAAAAUGUAAUACAUCAUUAGGCCAAGAAAUGAGAAAGAAAAAAGGUAAAUGUAAUUUCAGCCCAUUGAUUGUCCAUUAAAUUUCCUCUGAUUGUUUCGUUUUCCUGUGCUUUAAUUACCUGCCAUUGUAUACUGUCUAAUUAUGUUGGAAAAAAUGAGAACCGGAAAUGCUUGAUUGGUUGUUAUCCUCACAACAUGGGAAAUAUAAUCAUGGUUCCUCGGUAAAUCAAUUGACAUACAAACUGUGAUUGUGUACCGUUGAGUGUGUUACCAAUUCAUUAUGCUUUCCAUAACCUUCCAACUAUCGUAUGACUGCUAUUAUAAAUAAAUUAAUGUGAAACUCAUGGUUUGUGUUUUUCUUACGAGCUACUCAGAUUGGAUACCGAGUGCAAAUAAAGUCUCUGUUAAUCUGCCAAAUGGAAAACAAUAGCCAAGUUGAAUAGUUUUCAGUCUGUAAAAUGGAUCAAAUGAUUUAAAGUUCAAGGUGGUUCAAUGCUAGUACCAAUCUCUUUAAAAGACGCAAUUUCGACCAUUUUACUGCUUCUUUAGAAGUAAAAAAUCCAACACUAAUGGCGUAAGCGAUUUUCCGAUUUCAAACCAACAGUUAAAAGGAUUGUUUUAGUUGAGAUUUGAUUAUUUUCUAUUCUACUCCUUUGAUUUAAUUCAAGUUUAGCUUUUGAAACUGUCAAAUCUGCUUCAAUUAUAAAGUUGUUUGUUCCUCGAGUGUUUCAAAAACCAUUUGUUACUGAAAAUCAAGCCGAUAAGAAUGAAGUGUUUCUAAGUGAUAUAAAUUUUCCUGGCCAUGAAUAAGCAAUUUUUCUUGAUUGUUUCACCGUACAAUCAGGAAUAUUAAUUGAUGCAAACAGUUCCAGGUAUAUUUAAUGUAAACUGAUUUCUUCGUUACCUUUAAUACCCUAAUCAAGGACAAGAUCUUAGUGUACUAUUUAAUUUACUAACUUUGUAUCCAUUUAUUUUCACUCUCAUCAUAUCUUUUAUUGCCUGGUAAAGGUUUGAUUGAUUUCGCAUCAAAGAGAUUCUGCAAUGAUUAACUAUAAUUAACAGCUCGAUAUCGGAAAAUGCUGUAAUUAAUAAAUUGGUUAAUUGCUAUGAACUUGAAACUAUAGACUAUCUUGAGCUAUUCUUGUAAGAUCAGUCGCUCAAAUUAUACUUCGCUUGUAUUUAUAAAUUAUUAAUGAAUUUC
This is a long non-coding RNA of Tetranychus urticae (two-spotted spider mite), 1388 nucleotides long. RefSeq lists it as uncharacterized. NCBI's taxonomy places the organism in Eukaryota, Metazoa, Arthropoda, Arachnida, Trombidiformes, Tetranychidae. The record is from RefSeq and is a predicted model, not a curated record.